UAUACAGUAAUUCUAUACAUAAAAAUAUUGAAAUUCACAUUUUUGCAUGUUAUGUUGAAAACUGUAUUAGAUAGAUAGAAACUUUAAAUAGCACAAAUGAUAAGCAAGACAAGAUCUACAAAUAAGCCAUUAUGGUGGUAAUGUUCAGUCAACUCGUUAUUGGAGUUAUUGUCCAUUAAUGAUAAUUUUUUACAUUUUAUUUGCAUUUUUUGUCUAUUGUCUUGAAAGCCUAUAAUAAAUAGCCAUUGUUGAAGAUGCAGGUGAGCGACACAGGCUCUUUAGAGCCUCUGAUUAUAUACAUGUGGAAAAUAAAUUAAGGAGAUGUGGUAUGAUAUCCAAUGAGAAAACUAUCAACAAAAAGACCAAAGGACAAGGAUAUAAACAACUACAGGUCACCCUUAUAGCUUUCACCAAUAGACAAGGAUGUAAACAACUACAGGUCACCCUUAUAGCUUUCAUCAAUAGACAAGGAUGUAAACAACUACAGGUCACCCUUAUAGCUUUCAUCAAUAGACAAGGAUGUAAACAACUACAGGUCACCCUAAUAGCUUUCACCAAUAGACAAGGAUGUAAACAACUACAGGUCACCCUUAUAGCUUUCACCAAUAGACAAGGAUGUAAACAACUACAGGUCACCCUUAUAGCUUUCACCAAUAGACAAGGAUGUAAACAACUACAGGUCACCCUUAUAGCUUUCAUCAAUAGACAAGGAUGUAAACAACUCAAGAAUGUAAACAACUACAGGUCACCCUUAUAGCUUUCACCAAUAGACAAGGAUGUAAACAACUACAGGUCACCCUUAUAGCUUUAACCAAUAGACAAGGAUGUAAACAACUACAGGUCACCCUUAUAGCUUUCACCAAUAGACAAGGAUGUAAACAACUACAGGUCACCCUUAUAGCUUUAACCAAUAGACAAGGAUGUAAACAACUACAUGUCACCCUUAUAGCUUUCACCAAUAGACAAGGAUGUAAACAACUACAUGUCACCCUUAUAGCUUUCACCAAUAGACAAAACCAAUACCAAAAGUUUACCUUAUGUGGAAAGUACUUAUAUUGGGUAUUUAUUUUCUUUUUGAAAACAUUCUUGUGUGGAAUUUGUUGUAUUUUACAUGCUGUAAAGUUGUAGUAAUAAGUUUAAUUUAAUCAAUUCUAUAAAAAAAUGUUUUUUUUCUUUCUGUUCUAAAUUUCAUGGAUGGGGAACCACAAAAUCCAUGAAAAUUGGUAUUCCUAGACAUGCUAGAAUGAUAAUACUGUCAACAGACAUGACUAUGUUUCUCACUCAGUACUUGAAAGUACAUUGUACAUUCAUGACAUUAUUAAACAU
Mytilus californianus (California mussel) is the source of this 1326-nucleotide long non-coding RNA. RefSeq lists it as uncharacterized. The transcript is spliced from 3 exons. NCBI's taxonomy places the organism in Eukaryota, Metazoa, Mollusca, Bivalvia, Mytilida, Mytilidae. The record is from RefSeq and is a predicted model, not a curated record.